GGAUAACGCUGGCGGCGUGCCUAACACAUGCAAGUCGAACGUCCCUUUUGCGCAAGUGAGAGGGAGUGGCGGACGGGUGAGUACCACGUGGGUACCUACCUUGAGGUGAGGAAUACCACCGAGAAAUCGGUGACAAGACCGCAUACGCUUGGCAACAAGCAAAGUCUCGCAAGAGACGCCACAAGAUGGGCCUGCGCCUGAUUAGCUAGUUGGUGAGUAAUGGCNCACCAAGGCGACGAUCAGUAGCUGGUCUGAGAGGAUGAUCAGCCACACUGGGAUUGAGAACGG
RNAcentral lists this ribosomal RNA (288 nucleotides) under uncultured bacterium. RNAcentral's name for it is "partial 16S ribosomal RNA". It matches the Rfam family "Bacterial small subunit ribosomal RNA", at positions 32 to 329 of the family's 1533-position model. The record is from RNAcentral.